RNAcentral lists this ribosomal RNA (327 nucleotides) under uncultured eukaryote. RNAcentral's name for it is "partial 18S ribosomal RNA". It matches the Rfam family "Eukaryotic small subunit ribosomal RNA", at positions 1470 to 1796 of the family's 1831-position model. The record is from RNAcentral.
CCCUUAGAUGUUCUGGGCCGCACGCGCGCUACACUGACGAAUGCAACGAGCUUAUAACCUUGGCCGAAAGGUCUGGGUAAUCUCCAAAUUUCGUCGUGAUGGGGAUAGAUUAUUGCAAUUAUUAAUCUUCAACGAGGAAUGCCUAGUAAGCGCAAGUCAUCAGCUUGCGUUGAUUACGUCCCUGCCCUUUGUACACACCGCCCGUCGCUCCUACCGAUUGAAUGGUCCGGUGAAGCGUUCGGACCGUGGCCUUUGGACGGUUCGCCGUCUGUUGGCUGCGGGAAGUUCUUUAAACCUUAUCAUUUAGAGGAAGGAGAANUCGUANCA